RNAcentral lists this ribosomal RNA (739 nucleotides) under Streptomyces sp. I11A-02716. RNAcentral's name for it is "bacterial SSU rRNA". It matches the Rfam family "Bacterial small subunit ribosomal RNA", at positions 65 to 821 of the family's 1533-position model. Lineage: Bacteria; Bacillati; Actinomycetota; Actinomycetes; Kitasatosporales; Streptomycetaceae. The record is from RNAcentral.
AACGAUGAAGCCUUUCGGGGUGGAUUAGUGGCGAACGGGUGAGUAACACGUGGGCAAUCUGCCCUUCACUCUGGGACAAGCCCUGGAAACGGGGUCUAAUACCGGAUAAUACUUCUGCCUGCAUGGGCGGGGGUUGAAAGCUCCGGCGGUGAAGGAUGAGCCCGCGGCCUAUCAGCUUGUUGGUGGGGUGAUGGCCUACCAAGGCGACGACGGGUAGCCGGCCUGAGAGGGCGACCGGCCACACUGGGACUGAGACACGGCCCAGACUCCUACGGGAGGCAGCAGUGGGGAAUAUUGCACAAUGGGCGAAAGCCUGAUGCAGCGACGCCGCGUGAGGGAUGACGGCCUUCGGGUUGUAAACCUCUUUCAGCAGGGAAGAAGCGAGAGUGACGGUACCUGCAGAAGAAGCGCCGGCUAACUACGUGCCAGCAGCCGCGGUAAUACGUAGGGCGCAAGCGUUGUCCGGAAUUAUUGGGCGUAAAGAGCUCGUAGGCGGCUUGUCGCGUCGGAUGUGAAAGCCCGGGGCUUAACCCCGGGUCUGCAUUCGAUACGGGCAGGCUAGAGUGUGGUAGGGGAGAUCGGAAUUCCUGGUGUAGCGGUGAAAUGCGCAGAUAUCAGGAGGAACACCGGUGGCGAAGGCGGAUCUCUGGGCCAUUACUGACGCUGAGGAGCGAAAGCGUGGGGAGCGAACAGGAUUAGAUACCCUGGUAGUCCACGCCGUAAACGUUGGGAACUAGGU